Molecule: small nucleolar RNA, 87 nt
Organism: Cannabis sativa
Lineage: Eukaryota; Viridiplantae; Streptophyta; Magnoliopsida; Rosales; Cannabaceae
Product: small nucleolar RNA R11/Z151
Exons: 1
Source: RefSeq, a predicted model, not a curated record
UGGCUUAUGGUGAUAACAUAAAUUAUCUUAGUAGAUUUUAGUGAGAUUUUAUAGUCAAUGAUCUGAAUGUUACACACACUGAACCCA